UAAGGAAUAUUGCUCAAUGGGAGAAAUCCUGAAGCAGCAACGCCGCGUGGAGGAUGAAGGGUCUAUGACUUGUAAACUCCUGUAAAGAAGGAAAAAAUUCCCAUUAGAUGGGAGAUGAUGGUACUUCUGGAGUAAGCCCCGGCUAACUACGUGCCAGCAGCCGCGGUAAUACGUAGGGGGCAAGCGUUGUCCGGAUUUACUGGGUGUAAAGGGUGCUCAGGCGGAUUUGUAAGUCAGAGGUGAAAUCUUACAGCUUAACUGUGAAACUGCCUUUGAUACUGCAAGCCUAGAGUAUGGAAGAGAGUGAUGGAAUAUCUGGUGUAGCAGUGAAAUGCGUAGAUAUCAGAUAGAACACCUAUGGCGAAGGCAGUCACUUGGUCCAUUACUGACGCUAAAGCACGAAAGCGUGGGUAGCAAACA
This 420-nucleotide ribosomal RNA is filed under the name uncultured bacterium. Its description in RNAcentral is "bacterial SSU rRNA". It matches the Rfam family "Bacterial small subunit ribosomal RNA", at positions 355 to 774 of the family's 1533-position model. The record is from RNAcentral.